Molecule: non-coding RNA, 353 nt
Organism: Candidatus Edwardsbacteria bacterium GWF2_54_11
Lineage: Bacteria; Candidatus Edwardsiibacteriota
Source: Rfam
GGGGGCGACAGGUUUCGACGGAUCAAGAUAGAUCAAAGUGGCAUGUCGAGAAGGUCAGAGGGCUCGUUAAAAUACUGGCAAGCCAUCUAAAUGGCAACUAUAAUUACGCUUUAGCAGCUUAAUUUUAAGCGCUAUGUCGCUGUAGGUCUCCGCCCAUCGGGCCUGCAAACGACAUCGUAAAGAAGGGCUGGUUCCGGGUGAUGUCCCGACAUUCGGAACGAGAUCUCAGGGGCUGCUCCGACCAGGACCGUGUUUAUGCGGGCCUUUAGGAAAAGACAAAACAUAAACUAAACAUGUAGAGGCUUCGGUUGUUCUUUUUUCGGACGUGGGUUCGAUUCCCACCGCCUCCACCA